AAGUCUUUAAGUUAAGCUAAACUGAUAGCCUUCAAAGCUAUGAAUGAAUUAAAAUCAAGUCUUA
RNAcentral lists this transfer RNA (64 nucleotides) under Campodea fragilis. Its description in RNAcentral is "tRNA-Trp". Lineage: Eukaryota; Metazoa; Arthropoda; Diplura; Rhabdura; Campodeidae. The record is from RNAcentral.